UGAGGAAUAUUGGUCAAUGGGCGAGAGCCUGAACCAGCCAAGUAGCGUGCAGGAAGACGGCCCUAUGGGUUGUAAACUGCUUUUGUAAGGGAACAAAGUUCGGGACGUGUCCCGUUUUGCGUGUACCUUACGAAUAAGGACCGGCUAAUUCCGUGCCAGCAGCCGCGGUAAUACGGAAGGUCCGGGCGUUAUCCGGAUUUAUUGGGUUUAAAGGGAGCGUAGGCCGAAGGUUAAGCGUGUUGUGAAAUGUAGUCGCUCAACGGGUGCACUGCAGCGCGAACUGGCUUUCUUGAGUGCGCGGAAAGUUGGCGGAAUUCGUUGUGUAGCGGUGAAAUGCUUAGAUAUGACGAAGAACUCCGAUUGCGAAGGCAGCUGACUGUAGCGUAACUGACGCUGAUGCUCGAAAGCGUGGGUAUCGAACAGG
This 424-nucleotide ribosomal RNA is filed under the name uncultured bacterium. RNAcentral's name for it is "bacterial SSU rRNA". It matches the Rfam family "Bacterial small subunit ribosomal RNA", at positions 355 to 776 of the family's 1533-position model. The record is from RNAcentral.